Molecule: ribosomal RNA, 491 nt
Filed under: uncultured bacterium
Lineage: Bacteria
Description: partial 16S ribosomal RNA
Rfam family: Bacterial small subunit ribosomal RNA
Source: RNAcentral
AUUGAACGCUGGCGGCAUGCUUUACACAUGCAAGUCGAACGGUAACAGGCCUUCGGGUGCUGACGAGUGGCGAACGGGUGAGUAAUGCAUCGGAACGUACCCAGAGGUGGGGGAUAACGCAGCGAAAGCUGUGCUAAUACCGCAUGUGAUCUGAGGAUGAAAGCGGGGGACCGAGCAGCAAUGUUUGGCCUCGCGCCUUUGGAGCGGCCGAUGUCGGAUUAGCUAGUUGGUGGGGUAAAGGCCUACCAAGGCGACGAUCCGUAGCUGGUCUGAGAGGACGACCAGCCACACUGGGACUGAGACACGGCCCAGACUCCUACGGGAGGCAGCAGUGGGGAAUUUUGGACAAUGGGCGCAAGCCUGAUCCAGCAAUGCCGCGUGCGGGAAGAAGGCCUCGGGUUGUAAACCGCUUUUGGCAGGAACGAAACGGUGUCCGCUAAUACCGGGCGCUAAUGACGGUACCUGCAGAAUAAGCACCGGCUAACUACGUG